UUCAGCUGGAACUCUCAGAGUCACCCACUGCACACACAGCCCAAGCGCUGCAACAGCAGGAUCCCGAGCGCCCAGCUGCCUUGUCAUUGCAGGAGCCGAGAGCAGCAAACAGCAAAUGGCAUUCCAGAAAUGACAAGCAAAUCAGCAUUAUUCUUUCAGCCUUAAUUCUUAUUUCUGGAGGUAAAUGCUUCCCCUUCCCUCACUACCAGCAGCCAGGAAGACUCUGAACUCGGGGACAUCUCAAAGACACUCUGCAUACUGUGGACAGGGAGAGGAGGCAGGCAGAGAUGUUUAUUACCUUCUUAGGGGGGUUAAGAUGUUUGGAAUGGAUGGUCUGGUUCCAACUCUGCCUUGGCAACUGCUCAUAAUACUCUAUAGUGAUUAAAUGAUGGAUUUCCAGAA
Pezoporus occidentalis (night parrot) is the source of this 402-nucleotide long non-coding RNA. RefSeq lists it as uncharacterized. NCBI's taxonomy places the organism in Eukaryota, Metazoa, Chordata, Aves, Psittaciformes, Psittacidae. The record is from RefSeq and is a predicted model, not a curated record. The transcript has 2 exons.